Molecule: long non-coding RNA, 2900 nt
Organism: Ctenopharyngodon idella (grass carp)
Lineage: Eukaryota; Metazoa; Chordata; Actinopteri; Cypriniformes; Xenocyprididae
Exons: 4
Source: RefSeq, a predicted model, not a curated record
GUGAGUAAAUUAUCAGAAAAUUUUAAUUCUGAAGUAAACUAAUCCUUUUACAGUGUGAUACCCCCAUAAGCUUCCUUUGUAAAUGCACUACUGUACACAUGCUUUUUAUUGUUUUUACAAACUUGGGGACGAGUUAAAAAUUAUUUUCAGUUGUAAUCAACAGCAUGUCACAGACACAUUAGAGACUGUAUUGUAUUUAACUUUUAAUGAUAAACACAUAUUGAGUUUUUAACUGUAAUUAUUAGGUGCAUUGGGGGUGAAUACAAGAUAUUAUUAGUCAUCAUAAAACAUGAUCAAAAACAGUCUCUGCCAGCUUAUUCAAAUGUUUGGUAUUUUAUGAUAUUUUAUCAGAAUUGUGGCCAGUGUUAUAUAAAAAAAAAAAGACAAAUUGCUGCAUACUGUAUAUAAGCUACAUAUCCCAGAAUAGAGUGAAGUUUCAGAAACAUCCAUCCAUUUUCUGUCUGUUCCAGCAUCUCAGGCCAUUAAAAAGAGAAACAUCCUGAACAGAUAACCAGUCCAUUCCUGGGCUAUCACACACACACACACGCACAAUUAAGUGUCCCCAAUUCACCUGUCUUGCAUUUCUUUGGAUUGUAAGGGAAACCUAAGUACAAAGUGGUGUCUCAUAAACGUGCAAACUUCACAUGUCCUCCUGGCUCAACCGUGAAUCAAACCAGAGACCUUCUUGCUGAUGAGGCGACAGUGCUACCCACUAAGCUACUGUGCCACCUAUAACAUUUUAUGCAUAAACAAACUUCCCUUAGAAGGUGGAGUCUCAUAAACUGCCUUUCACCUAACUUAAAAAGGAAAGAGAAAAUGACAAGACCCAAGACAAGAGCAACAUCAAGGUAAAGCAAUCUAAUGAUAUAGUAAUUAUUUUCUUCAGAUUGUAGAACAGAUCUGUUUGAUACUGCUAAUCUGAAUGAACUAGAGGUUGGGAGGAAAACACUAUUAUUUGAUAUUAUACAAUAUGUGGAAUACAAAUACCAAUACAACCUUAGAUUGAACCUUUAGAUCUUAUGUAAUGUGAUGAAUCAAAUGAACAUGCUUCUUCCAAAGUUUUAGCAGAAAAAAGUGAUGUUGCCUGUCUUUUUUUUUUUUAGGUUGUGAAUUGUUUAGGAUUUUUUUUUUAAAAAAAACAAAAAAAAAACAAUCACCAACACUGUUUGGUUAACUUCCCAUCAUGUGAGUUCUGUGCAACUCUUCUAGUAAAUCCUGAUUUUCAGCUCAGAGAAUGUAAACAGUGACCUUUUUUCUGUUGGUUGCUCUUUGGCUGACUGCAAAGUAACCAAAUGUAACACAAUGUAACUGAUAAUAGUAUAGUUGUAAAAGUACAAUAGCUUGUUAGUAACCAAGCUCUAACUAAAUUGAAAUCGCUAAGUGCAUCAGAUUUGAAACAUAAAAUUUCUUACACUUCCAUCCCAACACAUAUUUCUCUCAGUGUGUUUAAAGAUGCCUGAACGUAAUGAUGUGACGAGCUCUCAGCAGAAGCCAUUGUCACCAUUUGACCAGUACGUGGUGUCUAAUUUCAUGAUGAUCAGGCCGAUGAUUAUGGGGGUAAAUCAAACUGCUCCACUUAAAGUUUUUUUUUUUUUUUUUCUGCUACAUGCUAAUUUUAGGUCCAUAACGAAACAUUGACCAUCUUGUUUUAUAUCUUACAGGUUUUGGAAAUAUUAUUAGGCAUAGUGGUUUUCAGCUUAACAACCUGGAAAGGUUUAUUUUACAUUCUCUGGGCAUCUCCCAUUGUAAGUCAUUUAUUUCAUCAUCAGGAAAACAUUAUGCAUUGAACAAAUACUGAAUAAUGUUCAUUUUCUUUACUGUAGUCAGUUUUAACUGGAUCUGUGACGGCGUCAGCUGCACGCACAUGUAACAAACACUUGGUUUGUCUUAAUAUCUUGAGUAUUUUACAUUUCAUUUUAUCUGAAUGAAAGUAAUAACAUUAUAAUACAAUGCAUUGUUUAAUGCAUUUUUGAGUCUUUCUCAUUUCAGAUCAGAACUUCACAAUCUCUAAACUACAUCAAUCCCAUUACAGCUGCUAUCUCCAUUCCCUUUCAUGCCUUUGCAAAUGAUGGUGUGACUCACAUUGUUUUGAUGGUCUGUGAUGCUCUGGUCAUCGUCAUCUCUAUUAUUGUUGCCUCAACUUCCUGUGAGUGCUGCAGGACAAAGCGAAGACCACCUUGCAGCACUCGAGUUUAUCGAAUUAAUAUCCCUCGUACUAAUGUGACUGUCAACAAUAUUGUGCUUCUGCCCCAACCAAACUCUGCUACAACAGCAACAGUAUUCACUUCAGUCCAAUAUGGUCCACCACCUCAACAUGGUCCUUCCUGUACCAGACUAUAAGGGGUCGCCACAGCAGAAUUAUCCGCACAUUGGAUUUCCUGUCGCAAGACACCCACACACACUCCUACAGCCGAUGUAGCAUAUCCAACUCAUCUAACCUGCAUGUCUUUGGACUCUGGGGGAAACCAGCUCUGACGCAGGGAGAACAUGCAAACUCCACACAAAAAGGGACCUUCUGUUUUGUGAGGAAACAGUGUUACCCAUUGAGCCACCUCUUCUCUAUAAAAUCUCUAUAAGAUUCACUGCCAGUCAUUUUUAAAUCAUAGAUCUUACUAUGUUUUGAUCUUCUUGAAAGGGUAUUUUACAAUGUAGCGUGUCUUUUGUUAAUCUUGAUGACAAUAUUUAUAAUAAACUCUAUACAUUUACAUUUUGCUGUGAUCUCUCUGCUGUGUUCACAAUCUCUGAGCGCUAAAUGUAAAUGGGAAUAAAAUGUAAAAUUAGCCUAACUGUAACUCAUGUUUAAAAGCGAAAUAUUUCAUAAAAUAAGAAUGUGCAGGUGUGUGUAGUAUCCAUAUACUCCAGCAGAGGGAGUAUUAAAUAAACAACAAAGCAUCACUUUU